Molecule: long non-coding RNA, 1176 nt
Filed under: Populus trichocarpa (black cottonwood)
Lineage: Eukaryota; Viridiplantae; Streptophyta; Magnoliopsida; Malpighiales; Salicaceae
Description: long non-coding RNA (PTRI_LNC002044)
Source: RNAcentral
UAUUUUUCUUCUGUUUGCUAGUGACGUUUUCCUCUAUCCAGGCUAGAGAGAGCAUGUUCUUUAGCAAGUUCACGAGACACUAUAGCAUCACAAAAGAGAAUGGUAAGAAAGGGCCCAUCACCAUUUUGACAGUACCAAUUCAAGCACCUACACUAGCACCAGCACCAUCACCAGCAUCGUUACUAGAUGUUCCAGAACCAGCACCAGCACCAGCACCGGUGUUCGGCGAGAGUGAAAAGGGCCAUGGCCUUUUCGGUGAGGGCUCAGGAAUGUUCCCUCCUAAGGAGACUUCAACCACCACCACCACUUACGCUGAUGAAAAUGAGCUUUUGAACGAAGAACUUGAUGGUGUAACCUCUGACCAGAAGUAUGAAAACAGCAACUACAACAACAAUGGCUAUACUAGCACUUACAACAAUAAUGGUUACGAGAGGAGCAACUACAACAACAAGAACAACAACAAUGGCUACAAACUUGGUAGUGCUAGAUAUGAGACAGGUAAUCAAAACAACAAUGGCUACACCAACAAGUACUACAAUAAUGGCUACAAACUAGCUGGUGAAAGCUAUGAAGCAGGCAAUCAAAAUACUGAGAAUGGCUACGACAACAAUGGCAACACAAACAACUACAACAACAAUGGCUACACCAACAAGUACUACAAUAAUGGCUACAAACUAGCUGGUGAAAGCUAUGAAGCAGGCAGUCAGAAAAGUGAGAAUGGCUACAGCAACAACUACAACAACAACGGCUACACCAACAAGUACUACAAUAAUGGCUACAAGCUACCUGGUGAAAGCUAUGUAGUGGGCAACCAGAAUAGUGAGAAUGGCUACACCAACACCUACAACAACAAUGGCAACACAAACAACUACAACAACGAAGGCUACACCAACAAGUACUACAAUAAUGGCUACAAACUAGCUGGUGAAAGCCAUGAAGCAGGGAAUCAGAAUAGUGAGAAUGGUUACAGCAACAAUGGCAACGCAAACAACUACAACAACAAAGGCUACACCAACAAGUACUACAAUAAUGGCUACAAACUAGCUGGUGAAAGCUAUGAAGCAGGCAAUCAGAAUAGUGACAAUGGCUACACCCGCUAUGAGACUGAGAGACAAGGGAUGAGUGACACCAGAUAUAUGGAGGGUGGAAAGUACUAUUACAACGCGAAGAAUGAGA